GACGAACGCUGGCGGCGUGCCUAAUACAUGCAAGUAGAACGCUGAAGAGAGGAGCUUGCUCUUCUUGGAUGAGUUGCGAACGGGUGAGUAACGCGUAGGUAACCUGCCUUGUAGCGGGGGAUAACUAUUGGAAACGAUAGCUAAUACCGCAUAACAAUGGAUGACACAUGUCAUUUAUUUGAAAGGGGCAAUUGCUCCACUACAAGAUGGACCUGCGUUGUAUUAGCUAGUAGGUGAGGUAACGGCUCACCUAGGCGACGAUACAUAGCCGACCUGAGAGGGUGAACGGCCACACUGGGACUGAGACACGGCCCAGACUCCUACGGGAGGCAGCAGUAGGGAAUCUUCGGCAAUGGGGGCAACCCUGACCGAGCAACGCCGCGUGAGUGAAGAAGGUUUUCGGAUCGUAAAGCUCUGUUGUAAGUCAAGAACGAGUGUGAGAGUGGAAAGUUCACACUGUGACGGUAGCUUACCAGAAAGGGACGGCUAACUACGUG
RNAcentral lists this ribosomal RNA (497 nucleotides) under uncultured bacterium. Its description in RNAcentral is "partial 16S ribosomal RNA". It matches the Rfam family "Bacterial small subunit ribosomal RNA", at positions 28 to 507 of the family's 1533-position model. The record is from RNAcentral.